This 465-nucleotide ribosomal RNA is filed under the name uncultured bacterium. RNAcentral's name for it is "partial 16S ribosomal RNA". It matches the Rfam family "Bacterial small subunit ribosomal RNA", at positions 338 to 795 of the family's 1533-position model. The record is from RNAcentral.
CCUACGGGAGGCAGCAGUGGGGAAUAUUGCGCAAUGGGCGAAAGCCUGACGCAGCGACGCCGCGUGAGGGAUGAAGGUCUUCGGAUCGUAAACCUCUUUCAGCAGGGAAGAACGGUCACUGUGCUAAUCAGCAUUGAAUUUACGGUACCUGCAAAGGAAGCACCGGCUAAAUCCGUGCCAGCAGCCGCGGUAAUACGGAGGGUGCUAGCGUUAAUCGGAAUUAAUGGGCGUAAAGCGCUCGUAGGCGGUAUGUCAAGUCAAGGGUGAACUCCACGCGCUCAACGUGGUAAAUGCCUUUGAAACUGGCAAACUGGAGUGUGGGAGAGGAAAGUGGAAUUCCAGGUGUAGGAGUGAAAUGCGUAGAUAUCUGGAGGAACAUCAGUGGCGAAGGCGACUAUCUGGCACAUAACUGACGCUGAGGAGCGAAAGCGUGGGUAGCAAACAGGAUUAGAUACCCGAGUAGUC